GAUGAAGAACGUAGCGAAAUGCGAUAAGUAAUGUGAAUUGCAGAAUUCAGUGAAUCAUCGAAUCUUUGAACGCACCUUGCGCCCUUUGACUAUUCCGAAGGGCAUGCCUGUUUGAGUAUCGUGAACACCUCAACUCUCAUGGUUUGCCAUGAUGAGCUUGGACUUUGGGGGUUUUGCUGGCCUUUGGUCGGCUCCUCUCAAACGGAUCAGCUUUCCAGUGUUUGGUGGCGUCACGGGUGUGAUAACUAUCUACGCCUGUGGUUUUCUGCCAGAUAACCUUCAGCGAUGGAGGUUCGCUGGGGCUCAUAAAUGUCUCUCUUCAGUGGAGACAGCUUUUUGGACGUUUGAUCUCAAAUCAGGUAGGACUACCCGCUGAACUUAAGCAUAUCAAUAAGCGGAGGA
This 402-nucleotide unclassified non-coding RNA is filed under the name soil metagenome. Its description in RNAcentral is "partial contains 5.8S ribosomal RNA, internal transcribed spacer 2, and large subunit ribosomal RNA". The stretch from base 1 to 121 matches the Rfam family "5.8S ribosomal RNA", at positions 35 to 154 of the family's 154-position model. The record is from RNAcentral.